CAGCUGUGAUGAGAAUUAUUGGCAAUAAUGGAAAAAAACCUAUAAAAAAGCUUACCUGUAACAAGAAGUUUUGUCCCAGAUCCAAAAGCAUAAGCUCUUCCCGAGCUUGUUUCCCACUGUCCCAAAUUGCAUGACAAAAAUACAUUACGACAAAGGCCCAGAGAAAUAUAACCCAAUCUGGGAAUUUACGGGACAAAACAAAUUUUGGAAUAAAACCAAGCAUAGUUUAUGGGGUCAUACAGUUGAUGAUGCAUUAAAUUUACAUUUAAAUUUAAUUUAGCAGAUGCACAUCUCACGUGUCACGUGAAGCAUUAAUGUUCACAUAUCUUAAUGUAUGUAUCUUAAUAAAACAGUGAUGCCGCGGUGAUUUGCUUUAGAGCUAUGGAAGACAUCAGGAUGUUAUCUUACUUUGUCCCAAAGAAUUUACAGUGUCCUGUUCUAGUCCUGCAGGUGUGAAAUGGGUUUUCACUUUAUUAGUAUAUCUUCAUUAGCACAAUAAUUAACUCCAUCCCUUACCAUAAACGGUGAUGCAGUCAUUUACACAACGAAGAUACGUAUUUACUGACCUGUCUGAAUCUAAUUUCUGCUUUAAUUGUAUUUUCAGCAUUACUAAUAAUCACAUUUUUUGGGCUGAAUAUUUUAUCUGCCACUAUGAAAUGUCACUUUCAAGCUCUGCUACAUCCCAGUGCUAUUUAUAAAUGCUCAGUAACAACUCAGGAGCUUAUUGAGAUUUAAAAUAUAAGAACACCAUAGUGAAGAAGAACAGGCGCAAGAAGGUACCUACUGGUCACGAUGAGUUGGGUCCCGGAGCCGAAAACUUUAAACCUAUCACCCGAGCUAGUGGUAAUCCCAGCAGGCGCAGUAAUAGGUGGCCGCAUGCUCCUCUUUCACUACGCUGAUCUUCAGAUUAAAGACGUCACUGGAAAAGUCAUCUUUUUGAGGAUGACUGUUGUCAAGUGUGAAUGAUUUACUGCCAUAGUUAAUGUAGAGGAUCCUUUUGAAAGGUUCUCCUUCUUUCUUCUGGUACCAGUGGACAAACUCAUUUGACUGCAGCCCAGAAGCACUGCAGGGAAUGGAAACAGUUUUCCCUUUGCUUUUUG
This 1100-nucleotide long non-coding RNA is filed under the name Scleropages formosus (Asian bonytongue). RNAcentral describes it as "lncRNA (ENSSFOG00015030019.1)". Lineage: Eukaryota; Metazoa; Chordata; Actinopteri; Osteoglossiformes; Osteoglossidae. The record is from RNAcentral.